Molecule: ribosomal RNA, 427 nt
Filed under: uncultured bacterium
Lineage: Bacteria
Description: bacterial SSU rRNA
Rfam family: Bacterial small subunit ribosomal RNA
Source: RNAcentral
UGGGGAAUUUUGGACAAUGGGCGCAAGCCUGAUCCAGCAAUGCCGCGUGCAGGAAGAAGGCCUUCGGGUUGUAAACUGCUUUUGUACGGAACGAAACGGCUCUUUCAAAUAAAGAGGGCUAAUGACGGUACCGUAAGAAUAAGCACCGGCUAACUACGUGCCAGCAGCCGCGGUAAUACGUAGGGUGCGAGCGUUAAUCGGAAUUACUGGGCGUAAAGCGUGCGCAGGCGGUGAUGCAAGACAGUUGUGAAAUCCCGGGGCUCAACCUGGGAAUUGCAUCUGUGACUGCAUCGCUAGAGUACGGUAGAGGGGGAUGGAAUUCCGCGUGUAGCGGUGAAAUGCGUAGAUAUGCGGAGGAACACCGAUGGCGAAGGCAAUCCCCUGGACCUGUACUGACGCUCAUGCACGAAAGCGUGGGGAUCAAACA